UACGUAGGGGGCAAGCGUUGUCCGGAUUUAUUGGGCGUAAAGAGCGUGUAGGCGGCCAGGCAGGUCCGUUGUGAAAACUCGAGGCUCAACCUCGAGACGUCGAUGGAAACCGUCUGGCUAGAGUCCGGAAGAGGAGAGUGGAAUUCCUGGUGUAGCGGUGAAAUGCGCAGAUAUCAGGAAGAACACCAGUGGCGAAGGCGGCUCUCUGGUCCGGUACUGACGCUGAGGCGCGAAAGCGUGGGGAGCAAACAGG
RNAcentral lists this ribosomal RNA (253 nucleotides) under uncultured bacterium. RNAcentral describes it as "partial 16S ribosomal RNA". It matches the Rfam family "Bacterial small subunit ribosomal RNA", at positions 524 to 776 of the family's 1533-position model. The record is from RNAcentral.